This 497-nucleotide ribosomal RNA is filed under the name uncultured bacterium. Its description in RNAcentral is "partial 16S ribosomal RNA". It matches the Rfam family "Bacterial small subunit ribosomal RNA", at positions 30 to 523 of the family's 1533-position model. The record is from RNAcentral.
AUUGAACGCUGGCGGCAUGCCUUACACAUGCAAGUCGAACGGCAGCACUGGAGCAAUCCUGGUGGCGAGUGGCGAACGGGUGAGUAAUAUAUCGGAACGUGCCCAGUGGGGGAUAACGCAGCGAAAGCUGUGCUAAUACCGCAUACGAUCUAUGGAUGAAAGCGGGGGAUCGCAAGACCUCGCGCGAUUGGAGCGGCCGAUUUCAGAUUAGCUAGUUGGUGAGGUAAAGGCUCACCAAGGCGACGAUCUGUAGCUGGUCUGAGAGGACGACCAGCCACACUGGAACUGAGACACGGUCCAGACUCCUACGGGAGGCAGCAGUGGGGAAUUUUGGACAAUGGGCGAAAGCCUGAUCCAGCAAUGCCGCGUGCAGGAUGAAGGCCUUCGGGUUGUAAACUGCUUUUGUACGGAACGAAACGGUGAGCUCUAAUACAGUUUGCUAAUGACGGUACCGUAAGAAUAAGCACCGGCUAACUACGUGCCAGCCGCCGCAGUAA